This 505-nucleotide ribosomal RNA is filed under the name uncultured bacterium. Its description in RNAcentral is "bacterial SSU rRNA". It matches the Rfam family "Bacterial small subunit ribosomal RNA", at positions 19 to 518 of the family's 1533-position model. The record is from RNAcentral.
CUGGCUCAGAACGAACGCUGGCGGCGCGUUUAAGCAUGCAAGUCGAGCGGCAAGGGCCUCGGGCCCCUAGAGCGGCGGACGGGUGAGUAACACGUGGACAAUCUGCCCCCCGGCCCGGGAUAGCCCAGGGAAACCUGGAUUAAUACCGGAUGAGACGGGACCCGCGAUGGCGGGACCCGGGAAGGCGCUGCGGCGCCGCCGGGGGAUGAGUCUGCGUCCCAUUAGCUAGACGGCGGGGUAACGGCCCACCGUGGCGACGAUGGGGUAGCCGGCCUGAGAGGGUGGACGGCCACAUUGGAACUGAGACACGGUCCAGACUCCUACGGGAGGCAGCAGUGAGGAAUAUUGGUCAAUGGGCGGGAGCCUGAACCAGCCAAGUCGCGUGAAGGGAAAAGAAGGAUCUAUGGUUCGUAAACUUCUUUUGCAGGGGAAUAAAGUGCAGGACGUGUCCUGUUUUGUAUGUACCCUGAGAAUAAGGAUCGGCUAACUCCGUGCCAGCAGCAGC